Molecule: unclassified non-coding RNA, 293 nt
Filed under: Hevea brasiliensis (rubber tree)
Lineage: Eukaryota; Viridiplantae; Streptophyta; Magnoliopsida; Malpighiales; Euphorbiaceae
Source: RNAcentral
AGCUCUUAAUUGCUUGCACCUGCAUAAACCAAUGCUACCCACGUCUUCCAAGACCUGUUCUUCACCCCUAUCUCUCUUUUUCUCUCUGUCACUCAUGCUUCUCCUCCUCUAUACAUGUCUCUCUGCUCUUGUAGCUAAUGCUGUUACAGAUUUUCAUUAAAAUCUCUAUUUAAUUCCCCAAUUCCUUUCUUUUACAAUGCACACUUUUCUAUUUUUAAUAAUACCCAUCAUUCAAUUUCGCCUCUUUUCCCACUUUCUUUAGGUUUUUUGCAUCUCUCUCAAUCCGCGACCGU